ACGGGUGAGGAACACGUAGGAACCUGUCGUUAAGAGGGGGAUAACCAAGGGAAACUUUGGCUAAUACCGCAUACACUCGGAAGAGUAAAGGAGCUCGCAAGGGUUUCGCUUAAUGAGGGGCCUGCGUCCGAUUAGCUAGUUGGUAAGGUAACUGCUUACCAAGGCGAUGAUCGGUAACUGGUCUGAGAGGACGACCAGUCACACUGGGACUGAGACACGGCCCAGACUCCUACGGGAGGCAGCAGUGGGGAAUAUUGGACAAUGGGGGCAACCCUGAUCCAGCGAUGCCGCGUGGGCGAAGAAGGCCUUCGGGUUGUAAAGCCCUUUAGGUUGGGAAGGAGCGAGUGGGGGGAAAUACCCAUUUGUUGACGGUACCGACAGAAUAAGCACCGGCAAACUCUGUGCCAGCAGCCGCGGUAAUACAGAGGGUGCGAGCGUUAAUCGGAUUAACUGGGCGUAAAGGGCGCGUAGGUUGUAAGAGGAGUGUGAUGUGAAAGCCCCGGGCUUAACCUGGGAAGUGCAUCGCAAACGCUCUAACUAGAGUACAUGAGAGGGUGUUGGAAUUUC
This 567-nucleotide ribosomal RNA is filed under the name uncultured Aquicella sp. RNAcentral's name for it is "bacterial SSU rRNA". It matches the Rfam family "Bacterial small subunit ribosomal RNA", at positions 102 to 670 of the family's 1533-position model. Lineage: Bacteria; Pseudomonadati; Pseudomonadota; Gammaproteobacteria; Legionellales; Coxiellaceae. The record is from RNAcentral.